GUUAUCACGGGAGACACACGGCGGGUGCUAACGUCCGUCGUGAAGAGGGAAACAACCCAGACCGCCAGCUAAGGUCCCAAAGUCAUGGUUAAGUGGGAAACGAUGUGGGAAGGCCCAGACAGCCAGGAUGUUGGCUUAGAAGCAGCCAUCAUUUAAAGAAAGCGUAAUAGCUCACUGGUCGAGUCGGCCUGCGCGGAAGAUGUAACGGGGCUAAACCAUGCACCGAAGCUGCGGCAGCGAACGUAUCACUUAAAGCGAUUCASSGRGUUACGAUUGACGGAGCGAAGCGACGUCAAAGCGUAUACAAAGUCGAGUYGGYUUARGGAUACGUUCGUUGGGUAGGGGAGCGUUCUGUAAGCCUGUGAAGGUGGCCUGUGAGGGUUGCUGGAGGUAUCAGAAGUGCGAAUGCUGACAUAAGUAACGAUAAAGCGGGUGAAAAGCCCGCUCGCCGGAAGACCAAGGGUUCCUGUCCAACGUUAAUCGGGGCAGGGUGAGUCGACCCCUAAGGCGAGGCCGAAAGGCGUAGUCGAUGGGAAACGGGUUAAUAUUCCCGUACUUGGUGUUACUGCGAA
Molecule: ribosomal RNA, 572 nt
Filed under: Salmonella enterica
Lineage: Bacteria; Pseudomonadati; Pseudomonadota; Gammaproteobacteria; Enterobacterales; Enterobacteriaceae
Description: partial 23S ribosomal RNA
Source: RNAcentral